GGAAGAUAAUCUGUAGCGGUCUACAGAGCUGUUUGCUAAACAGAUUAAUCCAUGGUCUGGGUUCUGGUUCAACUCCAGUGUCUUCCUCCA
This 90-nucleotide transfer RNA is filed under the name Candidatus Thiodiazotropha lotti. Its description in RNAcentral is "tRNA-Ser". It matches the Rfam family "tRNA". From Rfam's summary of the family: Transfer RNA (tRNA) molecules are approximately 80 nucleotides in length. Their secondary structure includes four short double-helical elements and three loops (D, anti-codon, and T loops). The record is from RNAcentral. Lineage: Bacteria; Pseudomonadati; Pseudomonadota; Gammaproteobacteria; Chromatiales; Sedimenticolaceae.